Molecule: unclassified non-coding RNA, 490 nt
Filed under: Portunus trituberculatus (swimming crab)
Lineage: Eukaryota; Metazoa; Arthropoda; Malacostraca; Decapoda; Portunidae
Description: uncharacterized LOC123509211, transcript variant X2
Source: RNAcentral
AUUAAGUGUCUUUACUGCAAACAAGGGAGGGAGGAGGAGGGGGGGGCAGUAGGAGGAGGAGGUGAAGCGGAUAGCAGUGAGGGACAUCGGGACGAUUUCUUGUGUUGGCAUCGUGGAGGAGUGUACAACAAGGGGCGGUGUAUACGACGAGGGACAAGGUCGGGUCAUGCCGGCCAUCCCCUAAACAUGGAGCAAGCAAGUCUCGGGCGUCAGUCAGGAGGUGGAGCACGACCCGCCACAAAUCUGGCACAGGCGUCCCUACAACUGCGCAACUGCGCAUUACCAACUUCGUGGAGGCGCAUGUGUUUCACUCUCUUCAGAAGAUGACGCAGACCGAGGAGGCGUGUGGUUCGGCACAGGUAUGGGCCGGGCCGUUUCACCGCCUCCAUGAGGCGUACAGGCUAUCAGGAACUGUUCUGUCCAGGGUCUCUUUUUUAACCCUGGUUCUGUCUUGGUGUUAAAAGGUAAUAUAACGGUGUUACAAGCAAAA